This 434-nucleotide ribosomal RNA is filed under the name uncultured bacterium. Its description in RNAcentral is "partial 16S ribosomal RNA". It matches the Rfam family "Bacterial small subunit ribosomal RNA", at positions 27 to 507 of the family's 1533-position model. The record is from RNAcentral.
GAGCGAACGCUGGCGGCAGGCUUAACACAUGCAAGUCGAGCGGGCACUUCGGUGUCAGCGGCAGACGGGUGAGUAACACGUGGGAACGUACCCUUUGGUUCGGAAUAACGCUGGGAAACUAGCGCUAAUACCGGAUACGCCCUUUUGGGGAAAGGCUUGCUGCCGAAGGAUCGGCCCGCGUCUGAUUAGCUAGUUGGUGGGGUAAUGGCCUACCAAGGCGACGAUCAGUAGCUGGUCUGAGAGGAUGAUCAGCCACACUGGGACUGAGACACGGCCCAGACUCCUACGGGAAGCAGCAGUGGGGAAUAUUGGACAAUGGGCGCAAGCCUGAUCCAGCCAUGCCGCGUGAGUGAUGAAGGCCUUAGGGUUGUAAAGCUCUUUUGUCCGGGACGAUAAUGACGGUACCGGAAGAAUAAGCCCCGGCUAACUUCGUG